GACGAACGCUGGCGGCGUGCUUAACACAUGCAAGUCGAACGGAAAGGCCCUGCUUUUGUGGGGUGCUCGAGUGGCGAACGGGUGAGUAACACGUGAGUAACCUGCCCUUGACUUUGGGAUAACUUCAGGAAACUGGGGCUAAUACCGGAUAGGAGCUCCUGCUGCAUGGUGGGGGUUGGAAAGUUUCGGCGGUUGGGGAUGGACUCGCGGCUUAUCAGCUUGUUGGUGGGGUAGUGGCUUACCAAGGCUUUGACGGGUAGCCGGCCUGAGAGGGUGACCGGCCACAUUGGGACUGCUAUACGGCCCAGAAGACUACGGGAGGCAGCAGUGGGGAAGAUUGUACAAUGGGCGGAAGCCUGAUGCAGCAACGCCGCGGGGGGGAUGACGGCCUUCGGGUUGUAAACCGCUUUCGCCUGUGACGAUGCGUGAGUGACGGUAAUGGGUAAAGAAGCACCGGCUAACUACGUG
This 468-nucleotide ribosomal RNA is filed under the name uncultured bacterium. RNAcentral's name for it is "partial 16S ribosomal RNA". It matches the Rfam family "Bacterial small subunit ribosomal RNA", at positions 28 to 507 of the family's 1533-position model. The record is from RNAcentral.